GAUGAACGCUGACAGAAUGCUUAACACAUGCAAGUCCACUUGAACUUCGGUUUGGGUGGCGGACGGGUGAGUCACGCGUAAAGAACUUGCCUCACAGAUAGGGACAACAUUUGGAAACGAAUGCUAAUACCUGAUAUUAUGAUUAUAUGGCAUCGUAUAAUUAUGAAAGCUAUAUGCGCUGUGAGAGAGCUUUGCGUCCCAUUAGCUAGUUGGAGAGGUAACGGCUCACCAAGGCGAUGAUGGGUAGCCGGCCUGAGAGGGUGAUCGGCCACAAGGGGACUGAGACACGGCCCUUACUCCUACGGGAGGCAGCAGUGGGGAAUAUUGGACAAGGGACCAAGAGUCUGAUCCAGCAAUUCUGUGUGCACGAUGAAGUUUUUCGGAAUGUAAAGUGCUUUCAGUUGGGAAGAAAAAAAUGACGGUACCAACAGAAGAAGUGACGGCUAAAUACGUG
Molecule: ribosomal RNA, 454 nt
Filed under: uncultured bacterium
Lineage: Bacteria
Description: partial 16S ribosomal RNA
Rfam family: Bacterial small subunit ribosomal RNA
Source: RNAcentral